RNAcentral lists this transfer RNA (87 nucleotides) under Alphaproteobacteria bacterium. RNAcentral's name for it is "tRNA-Tyr". It matches the Rfam family "tRNA". Rfam says of the family: Transfer RNA (tRNA) molecules are approximately 80 nucleotides in length. Their secondary structure includes four short double-helical elements and three loops (D, anti-codon, and T loops). The record is from RNAcentral. Lineage: Bacteria; Pseudomonadati; Pseudomonadota; Alphaproteobacteria.
GGACAGGUGGCCGAGUGGUUAAAGGCAGCAGACUGUAAAUCUGCCGGACAUGGUCCUACGCUGGUUCGAAUCCAGCCCUGUCCACCA